UCAUGCCUAUGAUGAGUUGAAAUCAUUGCCUACAUCGUCUGAUAAAUAUUCUAUGAUAUAAUUCAACAUCUGAGGCUGA
This is a small nucleolar RNA of Lolium rigidum, 79 nucleotides long. RefSeq annotates it as small nucleolar RNA SNORD34. The transcript has a single exon. The record is from RefSeq and is a predicted model, not a curated record. NCBI's taxonomy places the organism in Eukaryota, Viridiplantae, Streptophyta, Magnoliopsida, Poales, Poaceae.